GGGGAUUUAGCUCAGUGGUAGAGCGCCUGCCUAGUAAGCGCAAGGCCCUGGGUUCAGACCCCAGCUCCG
This 69-nucleotide transfer RNA is filed under the name Rattus norvegicus (Norway rat). It matches the Rfam family "tRNA". From Rfam's summary of the family: Transfer RNA (tRNA) molecules are approximately 80 nucleotides in length. Their secondary structure includes four short double-helical elements and three loops (D, anti-codon, and T loops). The record is from Rfam by way of RNAcentral. Lineage: Eukaryota; Metazoa; Chordata; Mammalia; Rodentia; Muridae.